This is a long non-coding RNA of Schistocerca gregaria, 385 nucleotides long. RefSeq lists it as uncharacterized. The record is from RefSeq and is a predicted model, not a curated record. The transcript is spliced from 2 exons. Lineage: Eukaryota; Metazoa; Arthropoda; Insecta; Orthoptera; Acrididae.
UGCUCGUCCUGGUAUUCCUCGUCUGGGGCCCGAGCAGCCUGCUGCUCGCCGUCUACGCCGGCCUCGUGGGCGUCGUCUUCUCCCUGUACCUGAUGUUCGACACGCAGCUGAUCAUGGGCGGUCGCUACAUGGAGCUGUCCCCGGACGAGUACGUGUACGCGACGCUGAUGCUGUACGUCGACAUCGCCAACAUCUUCUGGGCGAUGCUCACGCUUUUCGGCUACUGCUGCGGCGAGUGAUCGUCCCCGCUUUUGUGUCCGAUUUAUUUGUUACGUGUCAAUUAGUACAACGUGUGUAAUCUGGCUACAUAUGGGGCCGCCGGCCACAGAGGAAAAUAAUAAAUGAAAAGGCUAGUGUCAUAAAUGAAGUAUAUGAAAGCUCGUAA